Molecule: long non-coding RNA, 912 nt
Filed under: Chinchilla lanigera (long-tailed chinchilla)
Lineage: Eukaryota; Metazoa; Chordata; Mammalia; Rodentia; Chinchillidae
Description: lncRNA (ENSCLAG00000027383.1)
Source: RNAcentral
CUCUCCUUGGUGUACCCGGUGCCUGGUGGGGGCUGUGGGGCAGAUCUGCAGGGAUGGUGUCCUGCCGGCAGAGGGCGCUUGCAGACAUACGUCAUUUCCUGCAAUCUGAGCUGGAGUGACAGGCGCUGAGGUUUGUCAGCAUGCCAGCUGGGAGGAAUUGCUGCUGAAGAUCACAGAGAAUCUCCCCAGGGGAAGGACAACUGUUAGCAGGAGGCAGCCAGAGCUGAGAGAGUGCCAGCCUGGGACAGCUCGAGUGUUCUGCUUUGGUGGGUUUGUGUUCUGUCUGCAUCAAGAAACUGAUAAAACUGCCAAAUGUUUCCUACCGUCUAUCUUUUAUUUUGCUCUUCAAAUUAUUGAUAUUUUGGGUUUCUUAUAUUAGAGAAACCCUGUAAUAUUUAACCUUCUGUGUCUAGUUUAUUUUACUUAGCAUUAUGAUCUCACAUUCCAUCCAUUUUCCUACAGACAACUUCUUUAUGGCUGAAUAGUACUCCAUAAUGUCUGCAUACCAUAUUUUAAAAAAUGCAUUUCUAUGUUGCUGGUCAUCUAGGUUGUUUCCAUGACUUAGCUACUGCAAAAUGAGAGAGAGCUGGUCACUGAUAGGGAGGCUGACUGUGGCAAUGCAAAGAGAGUCUGGGGAAGGGAGAGGAGACAGGUAGGAGAGGGGAGUGGAGGAUGUGUCUCAGUUCUCUAAGGUGAAUGUGAUUACUGUACAUUGCAAACAUAUACUAAUAAAAAUUAAAAAUGAGACAUUCAGCUUUUUCCUGCUGCCCCCCCCAACUCCAAGGCUCAAAGGGCCUCCAGUGGUAGAGCCGUGCAUGGAGACCCCUGGAGGACCAAGGCACCCAUGUUCUGGGGACCCAAGGAAGCAAAAGGGAGUGCCUUUGGGAGUUGGGUGGAGGGCGAGCUGGAAAG